Molecule: ribosomal RNA, 806 nt
Filed under: uncultured bacterium
Lineage: Bacteria
Description: bacterial SSU rRNA
Rfam family: Bacterial small subunit ribosomal RNA
Source: RNAcentral
CUUGCUUCUCUUGAGAGCGGCGGACGGGUGAGUAAUGCCUAGGAAUCUGCCUGGUAGUGGGGGAUAACGUCCGGAAACGGACGCUAAUACCGCAUACGUCCUACGGGAGAAAGCAGGGGGACCUUCGGGCCUUGCGCUAUCAGAUGAGCCUAGGUCGGAUUAGCUAGUUGGUGGGGUAAUGGCUCACCAAGGCGACGAUCCGUAACUGGUCUGAGAGGAUGAUCAGUCACACUGGAACUGAGACACGGUCCAGACUCCUACGGGAGGCAGCAGUGGGGAAUAUUGGACAAUGGGCGAAAGCCUGAUCCAGCCAUGCCGCGUGUGUGAAGAAGGUCUUCGGAUUGUAAAGCACUUUAAGUUGGGAGGAAGGGCAGUAAAUUAAUACUUUGCUGUUUUGACGUUACCGACAGAAUAAGCACCGGCUAACUCUGUGCCAGCAGCCGCGGUAAUACAGAGGGUGCAAGCGUUAAUCGGAAUUACUGGGCGUAAAGCGCGCGUAGGUGGUUCGUUAAGUUGGAUGUGAAAUCCCCGGGCUCAACCUGGGAACUGCAUUCAAAACUGACGAGCUAGAGUAUGGUAGAGGGUGGUGGAAUUUCCUGUGUAGCGGUGAAAUGCGUAGAUAUAGGAAGGAACACCAGUGGCGAAGGCGACCACCUGGACUGAUACUGACACUGAGGUGCGAAAGCGUGGGGAGCAAACAGGAUUAGAUACCCUGGUAGUCCACGCCGUAAACGAUGUCAACUAGCCGUUGGGAGCCUUGAGCUCUUAGUUGGCGCAGCUAACGCAUUAAGUUUGACCGCCUGGGG